GAUGAAGAACGUAGCGAAAUGCGAUAAGUAGUGUGAAUUGCAGAAUUCAGUGAAUCAUCGAGUCUUUGAACGCACAUUGCGCCCCCUGGUAUUCCGGGGGGCAUGCCUGUCCGAGCGUCAUUGCUGCCCUCAAGCACGGCUUGUGUGUUGGGCUCCGUCCCCCCGGGGACGGGUCCGAAAGGCAGCGGCGGCACCGAGUCCGGUCCUCGAGCGUAUGGGGCUUUGUCACCCGCUCUGUAGGCCCGGCCGGCGCCAGCCGACAACCAAUCAUCCUUUUUUCAGGUUGACCUCGGAUCAGGUAGGGAUACCCGCUGAACUUAAGCAUAUCAAUAAGCGGAGGA
This 341-nucleotide unclassified non-coding RNA is filed under the name soil metagenome. RNAcentral describes it as "partial contains 5.8S ribosomal RNA, internal transcribed spacer 2, and large subunit ribosomal RNA". The stretch from base 1 to 120 matches the Rfam family "5.8S ribosomal RNA", at positions 35 to 154 of the family's 154-position model. The record is from RNAcentral.